GCUCACUUCGGCAGAACAUAUACUAAAAUUGGAAUGAUAUAGAGAUUAGCAUGGCCCCUGCACAAAGAUCAUUUUGAAGAAUAACUCAUCUACUAAAUCUAC
Molecule: small nuclear RNA, 102 nt
Organism: Suncus etruscus (white-toothed pygmy shrew)
Lineage: Eukaryota; Metazoa; Chordata; Mammalia; Eulipotyphla; Soricidae
Source: RefSeq, a predicted model, not a curated record